UACGUAGGGUGCGAGCGUUGUCCGGAAUUACUGGGCGUAAAGAGCUCGUAGGUGGUUUGUCGCGUUGUUCGUGAAAACUCACAGCUCAACUGUGGGCGUGCGGGCGAUACGGGCAGACUGGAGUACUGCAGGGGAGACUGGAAUUCCUGGUGUAGCGGUGGAAUGCGCAGAUAUCAGGAGGAACACCGGUGGCGAAGGCAGAUCUCUGGGCCGUAACUGACGCUGAGGAGCGAAAGCAUGGGGAGCGAACAGG
This 253-nucleotide ribosomal RNA is filed under the name uncultured bacterium. Its description in RNAcentral is "partial 16S ribosomal RNA". It matches the Rfam family "Bacterial small subunit ribosomal RNA", at positions 524 to 776 of the family's 1533-position model. The record is from RNAcentral.